Molecule: ribosomal RNA, 478 nt
Filed under: uncultured bacterium
Lineage: Bacteria
Description: partial 16S ribosomal RNA
Rfam family: Bacterial small subunit ribosomal RNA
Source: RNAcentral
GAUGAACGCUGGCGGCGUGCUUAACACAUGCAAGUCGAACGAGAAGUGAAGACGGAAACCUUCGGGCGGAAGGCUUUAUUUCGAGUGGCGGACGGGUGAGUAACGCGUGGGUAACCUGCCUCAUACAGGGGGAUAACAGUUGGAAACGACUGUUAAUACCGCAUAAGACCACAGCACCGCAUGGUGCGGGGGUAAAAACUCCGGUGGUAUGAGAUGGACCCGCGUUCGAUUAGCCAGUUGGCGGGGUAACGGCCCACCAAAGCGACGAUCGAUAGCCGAUCUGAGAGGAUGACCGGCCACAUUGGGACUGAGACACGGCCCAAACUCCUACGGGAGGCAGCAGUGGGGAAUAUUGCACAAUGGGGGAAACCCUGAUGCAGCGACGCCGCGUGAGUGAAGAAGUAUUUCGGUAUGUAAAGCUCUAUCAGCAGGGAAGAAAAUGACAGUACCUGAGUAAGAAGCCCCGGCUAACUACGUG